GUUUCCGUGCCGUAGCUAACGCAUUAAGUGCCCCGCCUGGGGAGUACGGCCGCAAGGUUAAAACUCAAAUGAAUUGACGGGGGCCCGCACAAGCGGUGGAGCAUGUGGUUUAAUUCGAAGCAACGCGAAGAACCUUACCAAAUCUUGACAUCCUUUGACCGCUCUAGAGAUAGAGUCUUCCCCUUCGGGGGACAAAGUGACAGGUGGUGCAUGGUUGUCGUCAGCUCGUGUCGUGAGAUGUUGGGUUAAGUCCCGCAACGAGCGCAACCCUUAAGCUUAGUUGCCAUCAUUAAGUUGGGCACUCUAGGUUGACUGCCGGUGACAAACCGGAGGAAGGUGGGGAUGACGUCAAAUCAUCAUGCCCCUUAUGAUUUGGGC
RNAcentral lists this ribosomal RNA (378 nucleotides) under Dunaliella tertiolecta. Its description in RNAcentral is "partial Bacterial small subunit ribosomal RNA". It matches the Rfam family "Bacterial small subunit ribosomal RNA", at positions 837 to 1214 of the family's 1533-position model. The record is from RNAcentral. Lineage: Eukaryota; Viridiplantae; Chlorophyta; Chlorophyceae; Chlamydomonadales; Dunaliellaceae.